UACGUAGGGGGCAAGCGUUGUCCGGAAUCAUUGGGCGUAAAGCGCGUGUAGGCGGCUUGGUAAGUCCGCUCUGAAAGCCCGGGGCUCAACCCCGGGAGGCGGGUGGAUACUGUCAGGCUCGAGUCCGGAAGAGGAGUGUGGAAUUCCUGGUGUAGCGGUGAAAUGAGCAGAUAUCAGGAGGAACACCAAUGGCGAAGGCGGGUCUCUGGGCCGUAACUGACGCUGAGGAGCGAAAGCGUGGGGAGCGAACAGG
RNAcentral lists this ribosomal RNA (253 nucleotides) under uncultured bacterium. Its description in RNAcentral is "partial 16S ribosomal RNA". It matches the Rfam family "Bacterial small subunit ribosomal RNA", at positions 524 to 776 of the family's 1533-position model. The record is from RNAcentral.